This 253-nucleotide ribosomal RNA is filed under the name uncultured bacterium. Its description in RNAcentral is "partial 16S ribosomal RNA". It matches the Rfam family "Bacterial small subunit ribosomal RNA", at positions 524 to 776 of the family's 1533-position model. The record is from RNAcentral.
UUCGUAGGUGGCAAGCGUUGUCCGGAUUUACUGGGCGUAAAGAGCGCGCAGGCGGUCGUUCAAGUCGCGUGUGAAAGCCCCCGGCUCAACUGGGGAGGGUCACGCGAUACUGAUCGACUCGAAGGCAGGAGAGGGUAGUGGAAUUCCCGGUGUAGUGGUGGAAUGCGUAGAUAUCGGGAGGAACACCAGUGGCGAAGGCGGUUGCCUGGAGCUUUGCUGACGCUGAUGCGCGAAAGCGUGGGGAGCGAUCCGG